CUGGAAAACAUAUAUAUGCUUCUCUAGUACAAACUAAUUAGUCGAGUAGCCAGCACGAAACAGAGCAGAGCAGAGCAGCUCCUCCUCUGUUUUGUCUGGACCUACAGUAACUGAAUUCAGUCAAUGAAACUACUUUGUUUUGGCCUACUGAACACUCUCAAUACCGUCCUCAUGGUCUCAAAUAAGCAGAAACUCCAUCUACAAUUGUUUACAAGAUCCAACAGCAGAACCUACAUUUUCUGAUGCCCAUCUACAACUGUGCCCAUCUACAACUGUUUACAAAAGGAUGGGGUGGGGAGCAAAACACUUCCAUAGCAUAGAUACUCCAUUGUUACGUGGUACUUACAUGUUUAUUCCUGGCAUCUUCUGAUGCCCAUCCCUUCUUAUCACUAGAGCAACACUCCUUGUAUAGUCUGAUAUAGCCACAAUUCUGAUAAUACAAGAUUCAAAGUC
RNAcentral lists this long non-coding RNA (453 nucleotides) under Triticum aestivum (bread wheat). RNAcentral describes it as "long non-coding RNA (TAES_LNC022870)". Lineage: Eukaryota; Viridiplantae; Streptophyta; Magnoliopsida; Poales; Poaceae. The record is from RNAcentral.